GAUUCAAUAACGUUUUACAAAAAUGGAGUUGUCAUCGCAAAGCACUGGGAUUUCAAACGAUUCAACGACCAAGGGUUUUGAUUUAUCGUCUGGAAAUACUUGGAUAUAUCCGGAAAAUUAUCCAGUCCGCGAGUACCAAUUUAACAUUGUCAAAUCUGUUUUAUAUCGAAAUACUUUAGUCUGUUUACCCACUGGUUUGGGAAAGACUUUUAUCGCUGCUGUUGUGAUGUACAAUUUCUGGAGGUGGUAUCCAUAUGGGAAAAUUGUGUUCUUGGCACCAACAAAACCUCUGGUUGCACAACAAAUUGAUGCAUGUUAUGAAGUAAUGGGUAUUCCAAGUAUCGAUAUGAUGGAACUUACAGGUGCAAUUAAUCAGAAGAAUCGUGAAAUAGCUUGGUCAAAGAAGAGAAUAAUAUUUGCCACUCCUCAAGUAUUUCAUAAUGAUCUUGAGAGAUCAAUUGUACCUAGUCAUUUAGUUAAAUGUGUUGUUGUGGAUGAAGCUCAUAAGGCUUUGGGCAAACAUUCAUAUUGUGAGUGUAUUAGAAUAUUAUCCACACAGAAUCAAUAUUUUAGGAUAUUAGCUCUUUCUGCUACACCAGGAAAUAAAUUGGAUAAUGUUCAUGAGGUAAUACAAAAUUUACAUAUCUCUCAUUUGGAGUUGAGAGAAGAGAACUCAAUCGAUAUAAUGCCGUAUAUUAAUAAGAGAAAAGUAGAUAUUAUAUUGGUGCCUCUUAGUAAUGAAUUAGCUACAUUUAAAGAGAAAUAUGUUGUUAUUAUGGAUCGCCAUGUUAGAUUUCUUAUGCAAUAUAAUAUAUUGCGAGGAUAUACUGCAAACAUAUCUAAAGGAAGGAUAUUUCACUUAUUAAAAGAAUUCAAAACAAAGACUGACAAAUCGGGAAAUUAUGCACAAAUUAUGAAGACUUUGAAUAUAUUAUUAACCAUGUAUCAUGCUUACGAACUUAUGAUCAGACAUGGAUUACGUGCCUUCUGUAAAUUUUAUCGAACUCAUUCUGAUAAGUUUUGGAUGAACAGUGAAAAUCAUUUGCAAGAUUUACUCCAUGAAAUAGAAACUUAUCUUGGACCAUUUCCAAACAUACAUCCUAAUGGAGAUGUAUCUGAGAUACCAGCUGAUCUUAUAUUUGGACAUAACAAAUUUCACAAAUUGAAAGAAUUACUUGAAAAUCACUUUAAAACCAACAGCAGCAAUCAGAAGGAUACAAGAGCUAUAGUUUUUGUCGAAUAUAGAGACAUAGUCAAUGAAGUCUAUAUUUUACUCUUGCAAUCAAAACCAGUAAUCAGACCACAAAUGUUUGUUGGUCAAGCUAGUCAAAAACAGAAGCAACAAAUAAAAGCGUUGGAGGAUUUUCGAAACAAUCAUGUGAACGUCUUGAUUUCGACAAGUAUAGGUGAAGAAGGGCUGGAUGUAGGAGAAGUAGAUCUAAUAAUAUGUUUUGAUGUAUCACAGCAUUCCCCAAUAAGGUUAGUACAAAGAAUGGGUAGAACAGGACGCAAACGAGAUGGUCAUAUAAUUGUUCUUGUUACAGAUGGAAAGGAGCAUGAGAAUUUGAAGUCUACGCUUUCAAGAAGGGAUUCUUUGAACAAUAAAAUAUUGAACACAAGUAACAUAUUUCCUUCUAUGUAUGAGAAUAAUCCUAGGAUGAUACCAAAACAAUUUAUUCCAGAAUGUCAUAAGAUUCAUAUUGUUGCAUUGCCGAAGACACCUAAUGUAAAGGGUAGAAAGAAAAAGAAAAUUAUCAACAAAAAGAAUGAAGCGUCUAGUACAAAACAGACAGAAAAUUCACCUUCUAAAAAAGAUGCAGGUCAACCGUCGAUGAUAAAGUUUCUUACUAAUAGUAAAUGCAAAGACCAGAACCGAAAUAAUACUCCAGCAAAAUACUCCAAAUGUGAUAUUUUUACUCAAUUGAUAACGCAAAGUAAUACGCAUUUACGUAAUACGAUAAAUCCCAACAAUGUUAAAUUGUUAUCUGACGAUAAUGCGGGAAUUGAUUUUUUAACAUUAUGCGCAGUAAAAAAAUCGGAGGAAGAAAUGUCUUGCGAGACUGUGUGUAAAAUGGAUACGACUUACGUGCCUCAGCGGAAACCAAUUAAAGAUUUGUACAAUUUUAUAGUACCUGACAUAGAAGUUAUCGAUAACUUGUCUUUCCUAACGAAAUUCACAGAUAUUUUACAAGUGCAAAAUACAAAUUUUGAAGAUGAUAUACAAAUUAUUGAAGAUGAUGCAACGCGAUGUGAAAAUGGGAAUGACAAAAGUGUUAAUAACAAUGAUUAUGUUAAUAUCAAUGAUGAUAGUUUUUGGUGCACUAUACAAAAUAGGAGAAAUAUCGACAACGACGAAAUAAGAUUUGAAGAUAUACUUGAUGAAAGUUCUGACUCGAAUAAAACAGAAAUUUUACAUUUAAAUAAAAAAAUUGCAGAUACCGAGAUAAAUCCAAUUGAGGUAGAUGAAUGUUUUGCGUCUAAUAUGGGAGAUGAUAAUGCAAUUAUGACCGAUACAAGAACAAAAUUAUCAAUUGAUACACUACAUUUGGAACCUAGUAUAUUUGAAAACAUAUUAAAUGAAUCAUUUAGUUCAAUCGAGGACAUUUUUGAAGAUAAAGAUAAGACAAUUAGAAAUACAAUAUCUCCGGAUUUUUCAAAUGUCUUUGCUAAAAAUGAAGAGAGAACGACACACGCAAGUACCGUUAGUAUCCUUUAUGACGAGGAUAAUGUUGUUAAACCUAAUCAAGAUUUAUCAGUACCCACGGAAUUUACCACACAGAGAUCUAAUCAUUUAGAUAAAUUUGCGAAAAAUUUUGCAGAUGAAUUACAAGAUUUUGAUUUUAAUAGUGACGAUGAUAUAAGUGAAUUUGUUAAACAUAAAUCUAAUAAGAAAAAUACGUCAGUACAUAAUUCAAAAGCGGAAGAGAGUUUGUUAUCUAUAACUCAAGCUAUUGGCGAGAUAGCACAAAUGAAAAGAAAUGUAGCAAAAUCACCAAGACUUUCUGUAAGCAAGAAGAUUGAGGAUGAUGAUGAUGCUGGCUGGAUUUCAGUCGAUAUCAAGUGUGAAACUCAGAAGCAGAAAUUCGGAAACAGAAAUACAAAUUCGAAAAUCAAGUUAUCGAAUAUUAAGCGCAAUUAUACUGCAAAAUCAUGCACUUUUGAACAGAAUUUCGAGCUUUUAGAUAAUUCCGAUGAAGAUUUCAGGAUUACAGAGGAUAACGCAAGGAAAUUUGAUGAGCUUGAAAGCAGCUAUUUCCGUAAUACGUCGAAAGAAUCGGAAGAUGGUAGCAGUUGUUUGCCUAGUACAUCCAGAAAAUAUACGAAAAUAAAUAGUUUUGUCGAUAUAUCGAACAACAUGAAACUGUGCGGCAUGUCAACGCCGAUUCAUAAACGUCCGGGAUUGUCUUUGAAAAGAAAUAAGAGCCAAUCGGAUGUGAUUGAUUUUAAAGUGCCUAGCAGAUGUAUGAACAAUACGAGAGAUAAGAAUAUCUUGGAAUCCAGUUCUAGUACGUCGAAGCAGAUGAUGCCCCCUUUGGAUAGAAAAAUUGCACAAAAGAAUAGGCACAAAAGAAACGAUAUGAAAAACAAAUUUAUAAAUGAUGAAGCGGAAGUAGACUGUGACUUUGUUAGUUCAGACGAAAGUAUCGAUGAUGAUGAUGAAAAUCUUGCAGAUUUCGUGAGCUAUACGCAAUAUUCGCAGGAUCAAGUCGAUAUGCACGCGCAUUAUCUACAAACCAUUAGGAGCCCAAUCAAGAGACCGGGCGUCUUUCAUUUCAGUAAACCACAGUCCACUGAUCCAAACGUAGAGAUCUUGUCAUUAUCUACAUCUUUGUCACAAGACUCGUAUGUUAAUGAUUCAUUUUGCGUUGCAGAAGACGCCGAGCCUAGCAUACUCGAUCAUAACGAUUCGAUAUUGGAAAGAGCCGAAAAGGAAUUGGAACGAAAUAGACGAAAACGUCUCUGUUUCGAUAAGAAUAUGAAGCGGACUAAAAAGAAGAAAACCAACAUCUUAAAUCAGUCAGUGAGUAGUGAGGAUGAUAUCGAACAAUUGCGCAUACAAGUUCAAGAAAACUGACCAAGAAUGGACAAUAUCCAAUCAAUCUGUGAUAUGUUAAUAAGUUAUAAAAUGCAAUAAGAUGAGAAAGAUAAAUUUUAAGAUGAUAAGCUAUAAAACAUGAAAUUUUUACACACAUUAUUCCCAUCGUGAAACUAGACGAGGAACUGUGGACAUCAGUAACGCAUGUCAGAACAUUCGACGAAGCUGAGUUACAGAUACCUAUCAAAUGCCUAAAACUCUGUCAGGUAUAUAAGGACUAAACACAAGAUCCUUACGUUAGUUUCUUCUUGCUCAACAAAGUUGUGGCGGUCUCUGAAGUUCCUUGAAGAUUGAAUUAAUCAUUAAAUAAUUGAGAAAAACAUUGUACUGCAAUUACAAUUCAAUCAAAAAUUUCGAGGCAUUUUUGAUACUUGUGAGAAAAGCUAAUUUUGGGAAGCAAGAGCAAAGAUGUAUCGUGCGGUGAUCAUCUUGGUUUUAAUCGGGGCAACGUAUGCUCGAACUACCGAAUAUUCGUUGGAUUUGUUGGAAUUACGAACCAAUUCAAUGCAAGAAGUGCAACGUGAAGAUACAAAAACAAACGGGCAAACAGUUGUGAAUGAUUCGACUUAUUUGCAAAAUAAUAAUCCUGCAUAUCAAAACCGUGACGUGGAUACCAAACAAUAUACGACACCGACAGAAUCUAGUAUCCAGACUGGUGUUGUGUCUACGAGGAAACCUUACCAAUGGCUUUUCGAAAACAUCGUUACUAAAUUAACAUUCGUCGCCAGAAGUUUGAUAACUCACCGUGCUUGUAUUGGCUUCUACUUCUUGUUUACAUUCUUUCCACUUAUUCUCAACUUGCUUUGCACACAUACAUCAAUAUGUCCCGCCUUCCUGGCAGAUAGGAUAAUAUCACCCUUGACGAAUGUUAACAAGUUAGCAGCGGAUUGUGAAAAGUUAAAUGCGGUCACUUCAACCAUUGACCGGGCAGUCGAAAAGUAUUCCACUAUGCAAGGCGAGUAGUCGAAUAUCAAAUAACAUACAUCAAAAAAGACAUUGAAGGACGGUAUGAAAUUUACUGAUGUAAUAAAAAAGGUGAAAGAAAGUUAUCUAGAGUUUGUAUUACUUUUGAUAGCACAUCAUCACCCAAAAUUCUUUAUUUUUACCACACUUUGCCUUUCAUGACAUUUGUCAAUGAUAUCAUUUGAAUAUUGGAAUUUUUCGUUCUUUACUAAAACUCGCGAAAUGUUUCCCCUGCGUAUACAUGCAUUAUCAUGCUUGACUAGAUUAUGCUAUCAGACUUGUUACACGUAGAAAACUCUGGGAAAUCUCAAAUCGGUGGAAAUACGGACGCGCUGUCAGUGUUACAUACAUUCCUUGCUUUGCGUCUGGCAUUUCAUAAAAAGUGUAAAAAACAUUAAGAAGCCAUAUUAGACAGAUAGGCGAUUAAUAAGAUAUUUAAUUAAAUAUUAAUCAUAGUGAAGAAAUAGAAUAUAUAUACAUAUAUGUAUAUAUAUUCCGUAUCAUAUUUUAUAAUAUGCCUACUUAAGUGAUGUCAUUGCGGUCUAACGUUUAACGAAGAAGAUUAAUUUUUUAUCCAGUUUAUUUUAAAUGAAACUUU
Linepithema humile (Argentine ant) is the source of this 5657-nucleotide RNA transcript. It is a transcript of the gene named FA complementation group M, with no coding region annotated. Lineage: Eukaryota; Metazoa; Arthropoda; Insecta; Hymenoptera; Formicidae. The record is from RefSeq and is a predicted model, not a curated record.